This 91-nucleotide transfer RNA is filed under the name Bacteroidetes bacterium ADurb.Bin217. RNAcentral's name for it is "tRNA-Ser". It matches the Rfam family "tRNA". Rfam says of the family: Transfer RNA (tRNA) molecules are approximately 80 nucleotides in length. The record is from RNAcentral. Lineage: Bacteria; Pseudomonadati; Bacteroidota.
GGAGAGGUGUCCGAGUGGUUGAAGGAGCACGCCUGGAAAGUGUGUAUGCCGCCUGAAACGGCAUCGAGGGUUCGAAUCCCUCUCUCUCCGC